UGUGCUUAGGGGCAAUAUUGGUGACGUUAGUUUGCGUGGCUCUUCGGCGGCUAAGUACUGAUUUAGGAUCGAGGCGUACAAUCCCGACAAUCAAGGCACUUCCGCAUCGGCAUCUUUGAGUCCUCUUGGUGUGGGACUCAUUCUUUUAUUCAUUCCAUUUUAUAUCAUUCUUUUAGUGUUCUAGUUAGUUGUAUGCUCUGAACACGUUCCUUAAAUGCAUAUUCUUUAUUCUUUUAUGUUUAUAAACCUUAU
Malus domestica (apple) is the source of this 252-nucleotide non-coding RNA. Lineage: Eukaryota; Viridiplantae; Streptophyta; Magnoliopsida; Rosales; Rosaceae. The record is from RefSeq and is a predicted model, not a curated record.